This 502-nucleotide unclassified non-coding RNA is filed under the name Hevea brasiliensis (rubber tree). Lineage: Eukaryota; Viridiplantae; Streptophyta; Magnoliopsida; Malpighiales; Euphorbiaceae. The record is from RNAcentral.
GUGAUUUCUUCAGACUUGAACUGAAUCAAACAUCAAAAUAAAAGAAAUGAUCAUGAGUUAAUCAAUAAAAGGUCCUACAUACAUAACAUUCAAAGAUGUUAUUAGGUGUUGCAUCUGCACCCAAACAAAAGCUUUUGUGUUGGGAGGGAUGGAAGGGCAGAGGCCUUAGGUAAUCCCCUCCAAUCAAGAACUGGGGCCACCCAAUCGCUAGCCAGUAUGCUUUUCUCUCGUGCCUUUCUUCGUUCAUGGUUUGAUAUUUCAUCGUUAGCAUUAGACCUUGCAUUCAGUCCCACCCGAAUAAGAUAAGUAAAAUAGCACGCCUUCUCUCUCAUGGAUUUCCUUUCCUUCCACUUCCCAGGAACCAAAUGAAGCACAAAAUCAAAAAAAAGUUGUGAGCCGAAUUCCUCAUUCUUUUUAGCAUAUACCUUUAAACUUUGAAAAGGUUCUCUCAUUCAUUUAUCUACUCUUUUUCUUUUCACUAACUCUAUUAUUCUAUAUAUAG